This 497-nucleotide ribosomal RNA is filed under the name uncultured bacterium. RNAcentral describes it as "partial 16S ribosomal RNA". It matches the Rfam family "Bacterial small subunit ribosomal RNA", at positions 28 to 507 of the family's 1533-position model. The record is from RNAcentral.
GAUGAACGCUGGCGGCGUGCCUAAUACAUGCAAGUCGAGCGAACAGACGAGGAGCUUGCUCCUCUGACGUUAGCGGCGGACGGGUGAGUAACACGUGGAUAACCUACCUAUAAGACUGGGAUAACUUCGGGAAACCGGAUCUAAUACCGGAUAAUAUAUUGAACCGCAUGGUUCAAUAGUGAAAGACGGUUUUGCUGUCACUUAUAGAUGGAUCCGCGCCGCAUUAGCUAGUUGGUAAGGUAACGGCUUACCAAGGCUACGAUGCGUAGCCGACCUGAGAGGGUGAUCGGCCACACUGGAACUGAGACACGGUCCAGACUCCUACGGGAGGCAGCAGUAGGGAAUCUUCCGCAAUGGGCGAAAGCCUGACGGAGCAACGCCGCGUGAGUGAUGAAGGUCUUCGGAUCGUAAAACUCUGUUAUUAGGGAGGAACGAAUGUGUAAGUAACUAUGCACGUCUUGACGGUACCUAAUCAGAAAGCCACGGCUAACUACGUG